UACGUAGGCAGCGAGCGCUGUUCGGAGUUACUGGGCGUAAAGGGUGUGUAGGCGGUUUUCUAAGUUUGGUGUGAAAUCUCCCGCUCAACCGGGAGGGUGCGCCGAAAACUGGGAGACUAGAGUGCGGGAUGGGAGAGUAGAAUUCCUGGUGUAGCGGUGAAAUGCGUAGAUAUCAGGAGGAAUACCGGUGGUGUAGACGGCUCUCUGGACCGCCACUGACGCUGAGACACGAAAGCGUGGGUAGCAAACAGG
Molecule: ribosomal RNA, 252 nt
Filed under: uncultured bacterium
Lineage: Bacteria
Description: partial 16S ribosomal RNA
Rfam family: Bacterial small subunit ribosomal RNA
Source: RNAcentral